RNAcentral lists this ribosomal RNA (327 nucleotides) under uncultured fungus. RNAcentral describes it as "SSU rRNA". It matches the Rfam family "Eukaryotic small subunit ribosomal RNA", at positions 39 to 370 of the family's 1831-position model. The record is from RNAcentral. Lineage: Eukaryota; Fungi.
AAAGAUUAAGCCAUGCAUGUCUAAGUAUAAGCAAUUAUACAGCGAAACUGCGAAUGGCUCAUUAUAUAAGUUAUCGUUUAUUUGAUAGUACCUUACUACUUGGAUAACCGUGGUAAUUCUAGAGCUAAUACAUGCUAAAAAUCCCGACUUCGGAAGGGAUGUAUUUAUUAGAUUAAAAACCAAUGCCCUUCGGGGCUCUCUGGUGAUUCAUGAUAACUUCUCGAAUCGCAUGGCCUUGUGCCGGCGAUGGUUCAUUCAAAUUUCUUCCCUAUCAACUUUCGAUGUUUGGGUAUUGGCCAAACAUGGUUGCAACGGGUAACGGGGAAU